RNAcentral lists this ribosomal RNA (501 nucleotides) under uncultured bacterium. RNAcentral's name for it is "partial 16S ribosomal RNA". It matches the Rfam family "Bacterial small subunit ribosomal RNA", at positions 30 to 523 of the family's 1533-position model. The record is from RNAcentral.
AUUGAACGCUGGCGGCAGGCUUAACACAUGCAAGUCGAGCGGGGGAAGGUAGCUUGCUACCGGACCUAGCGGCGGACGGGUGAGUAAUGCUUAGGAAUCUGCCUAUUAGUGGGGGACAACAUCUCGAAAGGGAUGCUAAUACCGCAUACGUCCUACGAGAAAAAGCAGGGGAUCUUCGGACCUUGCGCUACUAGAUGAGCCUAAGUCGGAUUAGGUAGUUGGGGGGGUAAAGGCCUACCAAGGCGACGAUCUGUAGCUGGUCGGGGGGGAUGAUCCGCCACACUGGGACUGAGACACGGCCCAGACUCCUACGGGAGGCAGCAGUGGGGAAUAUUGGACAAUGGGGGGAACCCUGAUCCAGCCAUGCCGCGUGUGUGAAGAAGGCCUUAUGGUUGUAAAGCACUUUAAGCGAGGAGGAGGCUACUCUAGUUAAUACCUAGGGAUAGUGGACGUUACUCGCAGAAUAAGCACCGGCUAACUCUGUGCCAGCCGCCGCCGUAA